GUGCCAGCCGCCGCGGUAAUACGUAGGGUGCGAGCGUUGUUCGGAAUUACUGGGCGUAAAGGGCGCGCAGGCGGAAUAGCAAGUCGGAGGUGAAAGCCCGGGGCUCAACCCCGGAGGGUCUUUCGAAACUGCUAAUCUAGAGAGGGUCAGGGGCCAGCAGAAUUCUUGGUGUAGAGGUGAAAUUCGUAGAUAUCAAGAGGAAUACCGGUGGCGAAAGCGGCUGGCUGGGGCCACUCUGACGCUGAGGCGCGAAAGCGUGGGGAGCAAACAGGAUUAGAUACCCUGGUAGUCCACGCCGUAAACGAUGAGCACUGGAUGUCCGGAGGGUUCGACCCUUCUGGGUAUCUCAGCUAACGCAUUAAGUGCUCCGCCUGGGGAGUACGGUCGCAAGACUAAAACUCAAAUAAAUUGACGG
This 415-nucleotide ribosomal RNA is filed under the name uncultured bacterium. RNAcentral describes it as "bacterial SSU rRNA". It matches the Rfam family "Bacterial small subunit ribosomal RNA", at positions 505 to 916 of the family's 1533-position model. The record is from RNAcentral.